AUACCCGUGAAAACGCCCUUUAUCCUACUUAGGAUAAGGAGCUGAUAUCAGGCAUAACUACCCAAGACAUCUAGCCACGCCACACCCACAAGGGCCUACAGCAGUGAUUAACAUUAAAAAUAAACGUCAGUUUGAUUUAGCCAAUGAAAACAGGGCCGGCCAAUCUGGUGCCAGCCGCCGCGGUUACACCACGAGGCUCAAAUUGAUUUUAAUACGGCGUAAAGCGUGAUUAAAGAAAACUCAACUCUGGGGUUAAACUUAAACUAAGCUGUAGCACGCCUGUUUUCUAGAAAACCAAUUUCGAAAGAUACCCCAACCCACCAACUUGAACUCACAAUAACUAGGACACAAACUGGGAUUAGAUACCCCACUAUGCCUAAUCGUAAACUCUAACUUACUCCUUAAUCGCCAGGGAACUACGAGCUAAGCUUAAAACCCAAAGGACUUGACGGUACCCCACAUCCUUCUAGAGGAGCCUGUCCUAUAACCGAUACCCCCCGUUCAACCUCACCAUUUUUAGUCUUUCAGCCUGUAUACUUCCGUCGUCAGCUUACCGCGUGAGCGAAUAAGUAAGCUAAAUGUCACCCAUCAAUACGUCAGGUCAAAGUGCAGCAAAUAAAAUGGCAAGAGAUGGGCUACACUCUCUACUUUAGAAAACACGAAAAACCAUGUGAAACCAUGCUUAAAAGGUGGAUUUAGCAGUAAGAAAAGAAUAGAAUACUCUUCUUAACCCAGCACUGGGGUGUGUACACACCGCCCGUCACCCUCUUCAACAAUCUCUACCCAGUAUUUAACAUCCAAUUACUCAAUAGAAGAGGUAAGUCGUAACAUGGUAAGUAUACCGGAAGGUGUGCUUGGAAA
Molecule: non-coding RNA, 861 nt
Filed under: Pristimantis spinosus (spiny robber frog)
Lineage: Eukaryota; Metazoa; Chordata; Amphibia; Anura; Strabomantidae
Description: partial 12S ribosomal RNA
Rfam family: Bacterial small subunit ribosomal RNA
Source: RNAcentral